RNAcentral lists this ribosomal RNA (493 nucleotides) under Streptococcus canis. RNAcentral describes it as "bacterial SSU rRNA". It matches the Rfam family "Bacterial small subunit ribosomal RNA", at positions 108 to 588 of the family's 1533-position model. Lineage: Bacteria; Bacillati; Bacillota; Bacilli; Lactobacillales; Streptococcaceae. The record is from RNAcentral.
GAGUAACGCGUAGGUAACCUACCUGAUAGCGGGGGAUAACUAUUGGAAACGAUAGCUAAUACCGCAUAAAAGUGCUUAACACAUGUUAAGAACUUAAAAGGGGCAACUGCUCCACUAUGAGAUGGACCUGCGUUGUAUUAGCUAGUUGGUGAGGUAAAGGCUCACCAAGGCGACGAUACAUAGCCGACCUGAGAGGGUGAUCGGCCACACUGGGACUGAGACACGGCCCAGACUCCUACGGGAGGCAGCAGUAGGGAAUCUUCGGCAAUGGGGGGAACCCUGACCGAGCAACGCCGCGUGAGUGAAGAAGGUUUUCGGAUCGUAAAGCUCUGUUGUUAGAGAAGAACGGUAAUGGGAGUGGAAAACCCAUUAUGUGACGGUAACUAACCAGAAAGGGACGGCUAACUACGUGCCAGCAGCCGCGGUAAUACGUAGGUCCCGAGCGUUGUCCGGAUUUAUUGGGCGUAAAGCGAGCGCAGGCGGUUCUUUAAGU